GAUGAACGCUGGCGGCGUGCCUAAUACAUGCAUGUCGAGCGAACAGACGAGGAGCUUGCUCCUCUGACGUUAGCGGCGGACGGGUGAGUAACACGUGGAUAACCUACCUAUAAGACUGGGAUAACUUCGGGAAACCGGAGCUAAUACCGGAUAAUAUAUUGAACCGCAUGGUUCAAUAGUGAAAGACGGUUUUGCUGUCACUUAUAGAUGGAUCCGCGCCGCAUUAGCUAGUUGGUAAGGUAACGGCUUACCAAGGCAACGAUGCGUAGCCGACCUGAGAGGGUGAUCGGCCACACUGGAACUGAGACACGGUCCAGACUCCUACGGGAGGCAGCAGUAGGGAAUCUUCCGCAAUGGGCGAAAGCCUGACGGAGCAACGCCGCGUGAGUGAUGAAGGUCUUCGGAUCGUAAAACUCUGUUAUUAGGGAAGAACAAAUGUGUAAGUAACUAUGCACGUCUUGACGGUACCUAAUCAGAAAGCCACGGCUAACUACGUG
RNAcentral lists this ribosomal RNA (497 nucleotides) under uncultured bacterium. RNAcentral describes it as "partial 16S ribosomal RNA". It matches the Rfam family "Bacterial small subunit ribosomal RNA", at positions 28 to 507 of the family's 1533-position model. The record is from RNAcentral.